RNAcentral lists this ribosomal RNA (253 nucleotides) under uncultured bacterium. Its description in RNAcentral is "partial 16S ribosomal RNA". It matches the Rfam family "Bacterial small subunit ribosomal RNA", at positions 524 to 776 of the family's 1533-position model. The record is from RNAcentral.
UACGUAGGGGGCAAGCGUUGUCCGGAAUCAUUGGGCGUAAAGAGCGUGUAGGCGGCCCGGUAAGUCCGCCGUGAAAGUCCAGGGCUCAACCCUGGAAUGGCGGUGGAAACUGCCGGGCUGGAGUCCGGAAGAGGCGAGUGGAAUUCCUGGUGUAGCGGUGAAAUGCGCAGAUAUCAGGAGGAACACCAAUGGCGAAGGCAGCUCGCUGGGACGGUACUGACGCUGAGACGCGAAAGCGUGGGGAGCAAACAGG